Molecule: ribosomal RNA, 378 nt
Filed under: uncultured fungus
Lineage: Eukaryota; Fungi
Description: partial 18S ribosomal RNA
Rfam family: 5.8S ribosomal RNA (bases 134-287)
Source: RNAcentral
UAAGAAGAAAAAAAAAGAUGCGAGUCAUGGGGGAAAGCCAAGUCUUGCUCCCUUUCUUUUUUCUUUUCCACAUACACCUUUCUAUUAGAUCCUAUUGUCUGAAGCUGUUAGAGAAUGACUAAUUCUUAAACAUAACUUUCAUCAACGGAUCUCUUGGCUCUCGCAUCGAUGAAGAACGCAGCGAAAUGCGAUACGUAAUGUGAAUUGCAGAAUUCAGUGAAUCAUCGAAUCUUUGAACGCAUAUUGCGGUCUUUGGUAUUCCGAAGAGCAUGCUUGUUUGAGUAUCAGUAAACACCUCAACCAGAUUUUUUUCUGGAUGGACUUGAGCAAACCCAACAUUGGUCUCUAUCGAGAGGUCGGCGGCGGGUUGCUUGAAAU